Molecule: long non-coding RNA, 1872 nt
Organism: Homo sapiens (human)
Lineage: Eukaryota; Metazoa; Chordata; Mammalia; Primates; Hominidae
Product: long intergenic non-protein coding RNA 2248
Source: Ensembl
AUCGGGAGAAUCCCCUGAGGCCAUGAGAGGGUCUCAGGGAGGUGGACGGCCCAUCAAGUGAGAACCGAGGGCACUGUGCACUCCUGAAUCCUAGGACUCCUCUUAGGUCAUUGACUAACAACAUCAACAAUGAAAUGAAUCUGAGAAAACAGGAAAUUGAGAGCAAGAGAAAAAAAAGUUAAUUAUACUGAUUUUGUAUAAGACCCCUUUGAACACAUUUUUAAAAAAUCAAAUAGAAGGUGCCCAGGUCCACUGUGCCUUGUGAAUAUUUGUCUUGUAUAUCCUAGAGAUCUACGCAUUCAUGUGGGAAUUGAAAAGGACCCACAUUUUACUAGAAGCAUCGUUCAUUUUUGCCUCAAAACAAUGCCCACAUGUCAGAAGAACUUUCACAAUUCACAGGAACAGUGACCUAAUUAACCAACCAUAAAAUUGCCAAAUCCCUACUUCUCAUUGUUUAAUAUGCUUAGAAAACCCAUUCAAAUUGUGAAUUAUCAAGUGAGCUUACACUGAUAAAUAGAUCCAAUAUUUAGGAAUUUUUAAAUCUUCCAUUCCUUUUUUUUUUUUGUCUUUUUAAAAAUAGAACAUUAGAAUAUGUCCUCCAGGUUUUAGAGAUGGGGGAGACAUGCUUCCCUUUAUUUCUCAGUAACUCAGCCAAAAAAAAUCUGGAGAGAAUGCAAAGACAGCUACUGGAAACUUUGAAAAGUAGAUGUGAGCCCAUCAGGGAAGAGCUAGAGAAUCUGAAAUCUACUCGAAAAAGUGAGUUUGAUACUUUGUGUUCCUAUCCUAACUCCACACAGCCUGAAACUUGGAAGUGAGCAUGAUGGAGUGGAUACAGUGAGAUGCAGAAGAAAUCCUCCAGUUUGGGCUGGAAGGGAAAAAAGAGACCCCUAAAACUCAGAGACAGUGGAAGAAAUUCCUGGUGUUUUUUUCUUCUCUUUUUCUCUGUUCUUCCACAUAGCAAUUUAGUAUUGACUACAGCAUCUCUGUUACAAUGAUAGCACCGAAAUGUUGUAACCAUAUGGCCUGCAAAGCCAAAAAUACUUAUCUGACCAUCUACAGGAAAAGUUUGCUGAUCUGGAUGAAAUAUUCUGAUACUAAAUAUUCCAUUUUGAGGCUGAUAUUCCUAAUCUAUUCAUAAGGAUGGCAUAUCUACCCAGUGGGCCUGCUGGGACUCCAGUUACCCGAUGCACAUACAUUGCUUGGUGUGAAUGUACAAAGAGACCAAGAAAACCUCAGUCAAACUUGGAAAUUUCCUUUGUAAUAUUCUUUUUAAAGUUAGUUAUGUGGCAGUUUCGUGUGCAUUUUUGGUGAUGAUGCUCCACGGAACAUCUGCAGAUGUGCUGUCAAUUUGGACAGCUCUGACUACCGAGUGAAUGGGAAGUACUAACGAGAACUGUCUGCUUGGGAACUCCAUGAAGUUCGUGGCUUUUGUGAUUGAAAUAGCAUCAAUAAAAGGUUGACACUGUGGAACAACACAAGCCUGCAUGGACCUGGUUAUCUCUGACCUCGCACCACUCAUGAGACCAUACCUGAGCCCUACUCCACUUUGGCAGAACUGUUGCAUGGCCUCUCUUCAUAUAAUACCUCUCCGUACACCGUACACCGCAGCUCAAAGAAAGGAUAUAUGCUCCCUGUGAAGACUAAUGGAACUGUCCCUCCUGAUCCUCCUACAGACUUCCUCUGGCCUAAUGGGUGCACCAUUGCAUUAUAUCUGCCAUCUAUACACACAUAUACCUUUCAACCCUGCACUCUCUGAGAUGACUGGACUCAUGCCUAAAUAACUGAUGCUGUCCCUAGUGUAAGGUAAGCACUCAAUAGUUUCUCAGGAAAUGAAUAUGAUAAAUAUUUUGGCUGUUUAGAGGCUUUCCUUCA